This 438-nucleotide ribosomal RNA is filed under the name uncultured bacterium. RNAcentral's name for it is "partial 16S ribosomal RNA". It matches the Rfam family "Bacterial small subunit ribosomal RNA", at positions 339 to 795 of the family's 1533-position model. The record is from RNAcentral.
CUACGGGGGGCAGCAGUGGGGAAUAUUGCACAAUGGGCGAAAGCCUGAUGCAGCAACGCCGCGUGAGUGAUGAAGGUUUUCGGAUCGUAAAACUCUGUUCUAAGGGAAGAUAAUGACGGUACCUUAGGAGAAAGCCCCGGCUAACUACGUGCCAGCAGCCGCGGUAAUACGUAGGGGGCAAGCGUUAUCCGGAAUUACUGGGCGUAAAGGGUGCGUAGGUGGCCUGACAAGUCAGGGGUCAAAGGCAACGGCUCAACCGUUGUAAGCCCUUGAAACUGUCGGGCUUGAGUUCAGGAGAGGAAAGCGGAAUUCCAAGUGUAGCGGUGAAAUGCGUAGAUAUUUGGAGGAACACCAGUGGCGAAGGCGGCUUUCUGGACUGAUACUGACACUGAGGCACGAAAGCGUGGGGAGCAAAUAGGAUUAGAUACCCGAGUAGUC